RNAcentral lists this ribosomal RNA (253 nucleotides) under uncultured bacterium. Its description in RNAcentral is "partial 16S ribosomal RNA". It matches the Rfam family "Bacterial small subunit ribosomal RNA", at positions 524 to 776 of the family's 1533-position model. The record is from RNAcentral.
UACGUAGGGUGCAAGCGUUGUCCGGAUUUACUGGGCGUAAAGAGCGCGUAGGCGGCUCGUUAAGUGAGAAGUGAAAGCUCUGGGCUCAACCCAGAAACCGCUUUUCAUACUGGCAAGCUGGAGUGAUGCAGAGGUGGAUAGAAUUCCCGGUGUAGCGGUGAAAUGCGUUGAUAUCGGGAGGAAUACCCGUGGCGAAGGCGGUCCACUGGGCAUCAACUGACGCUGAGGCGCGAAAGCGUGGGUAGCAAACAGG